Long non-coding RNA from Brassica napus (rape), 1925 nucleotides. RefSeq lists it as uncharacterized. The transcript is spliced from 2 exons. The record is from RefSeq and is a predicted model, not a curated record. NCBI's taxonomy places the organism in Eukaryota, Viridiplantae, Streptophyta, Magnoliopsida, Brassicales, Brassicaceae.
AAUAUGGAGAUUCGGGGUCAAACUGGUCUUAAACAUCUGAUUUGGUCUUCUUAUUAGAUUUGGGUUGGACGUCUAAAGAGUAAUGGUUUAUAUCGUUGCAAAUCACUAUAUCUCUUGUAUAUAAGUAUAUUGAUUAUGAGUCAGUUCAUUUGAAUAUAUUUUCUAAAUUGUUCUUUUAAUCUAUAUCCUUGCAUUUCACUAAACAUUUAACAUAUAUAGCAAUAUGCAAAAAGUGAACGAAUACGGCUGAUGUUUAACAGACAAGGCAGUCCGCAUAACUUAUGAAAGAAUUAUGAUAAUAAGGUAUUUCCUGUAACCAUCAUAUGUGAUUGAGAUGUAUGCAUUUUUGGCUUGCAUAUACAAGUUUGUAAGCAAAUAGUCUAAACGGAAGAUUACUAAAAUAGGGGAUAAGCUGAAUCUAAAAAUAAAACGAUUUAGAAAAUUAGGUUAUAAAUUUGGUUUUGGAACUUCAAAUAUUUGCACUUUUUCAUUUUUGGAUCUUGUUAUGCAUUGUAUGAAAUUCUACAGGUAUAAAUGCUAACUAAUGCAUGUUUUUAGUAAUAUUUAGUCUCAUAUUAUACUACUAUUCACUAAACGCGGUAAAAGUAUUAGAAAAAUUAUCGAAGUAAAUUAUAAUAUACGGUUUCUUUUUAUGCCGACCUUGAAGCAAACACAAUAAGUAUAAAAUUCUUCAUGAGAAAAAAGUGAUUACCUUUAGUUUCUUUCUUGCGACUAGAAGAAACAAUGAAAACUUUCCCUUCUUUUUCCACGGCUUGUCUCUAUAUAACAUAAUAUUGUUCGAGCCAAGAUGUCAUUAAACUUGUGUACCUUCUUCAAGCCACAUUCUCUUCUCCAUUUUCUUGUUCACUAUUUAUGGUGAUACAUAUCCUUCAAGCUUCCUUGGGGUUAUUAUCCCCAUAAACACAACUCCGAUCAAUCUGACAACUCGAAGAUGUAGAAGCAGCAUAUUCGUCUCCCACGUCUGAAACCCUCUUCUGAUCUUUUUCUUCAUCAACUUGGCACUCGACGUUGCUUGUGUCCUUGGCAUUGUUCUGUAGAGAAGCAGAAGUUGUGGCCGCAUCCUCGUUGCUGAGCUGAGAAGCAACAAAUUUAUCGAGAACUCUCCAGUCCGUGACUUGGUCCAUCGCUUCCUCGUUCCCGCUAUUCAUGUAUAGAGAGCUGAAACUCUGAUUCCCUUGAUUCAAUUGUUCUUCAUGCGCGAGAUUCGACUGCUGCAAGUUAGCAAUCUCACUCGAGUUAUUAUCGUUGUUGCUUGUUCCGUAAGGAAGGGAGUUGCUAUUACUAUUAGCUUGUUGGAUAUUAGGGCUUUCAAGCUGAGGAAGUUGAAUUAAUGAUAAAGGAGAUUCAUGAAGAAGAUCAUGUUGUACCAGGUGGUUGUAUUGUAGCUCUAGCUCUUGCUUGCAUUGCAAGUUAGGAUUAUUGAGAAUGUAAGCAGAUGCAUUGAGGCCAUAUGGUAACUGCUGUUGGUGCUCGUACUGGUGCUGCUGCUGCUGAUUGGGGAGGAUCCGCCGUGGCCCGUUUGUCUCCAGCUCAGAGGCCAUAAAAGAGAGUUGAUCGCCAUACCAAUGUGAAGGCGAUGAGUCAUAAUCUCCCAUUCGUCUAACUGCAGCUAGUCUCUUCUUGAAAACCCUACACACGACCCAUCCUUCUUCCUACAACCAAAUAUCGUGUGAUGGGCCGGGAGAGAUUAGAGAUUUAGCAUAUAUAAAAACAAAAUAAAGUGUAAAGGGAAGCUAUGUUGUAGGGUCGAUAUAGUACCUGAGGAGUUCCAUUUUCAUCAGUUUCUAAGCGGUAUUCAUGCAUGAUCCAAUCGGAUUUUUGUCCAUUUGGGGCUCUUCCCUUGUAAAACACAAGUGUUUUCCUCAUACCAAUAAGACUGUGCCUCAAGUAUAUAGCCUUAUCUC